GGAGGAGUGGCAGAGCGGUUGAAUGCAGCGGUCUUGAAAACCGUCGAGCGGGCAACCCCCGUUCCGAGGGUUCGAAUCCCUCCUCCUCCGCCA
RNAcentral lists this transfer RNA (93 nucleotides) under Atopobiaceae bacterium. RNAcentral describes it as "tRNA-Ser". It matches the Rfam family "tRNA". Rfam says of the family: Transfer RNA (tRNA) molecules are approximately 80 nucleotides in length. Their secondary structure includes four short double-helical elements and three loops (D, anti-codon, and T loops). Further hydrogen bonds mediate the characteristic L-shaped molecular structure. tRNAs have two regions of fundamental functional importance: the anti-codon, which is responsible for specific mRNA codon recognition, and the 3' end, to which the tRNAs corresponding amino acid is attached (by aminoacyl-tRNA synthetases). tRNAs cope with the degeneracy of the genetic code in two manners: having more than one tRNA (with a specific anti-codon) for a particular amino acid; and 'wobble' base-pairing, i.e. permitting non-standard base-pairing at the 3rd anti-codon position. RNAcentral also lists the same sequence under 2 other names. The record is from RNAcentral. Lineage: Bacteria; Bacillati; Actinomycetota; Coriobacteriia; Coriobacteriales; Atopobiaceae.